RNAcentral lists this ribosomal RNA (255 nucleotides) under uncultured bacterium. RNAcentral describes it as "partial 16S ribosomal RNA". It matches the Rfam family "Bacterial small subunit ribosomal RNA", at positions 524 to 776 of the family's 1533-position model. The record is from RNAcentral.
CACGUAGGGGGCAAGCGUUGUCCGGAUUUAUUGGGCGUAAAGAGCUCGUAGGCGGCUCAGUAAGUCAGGUGUGAAACCUCCAGGCUCAACCUGGAGACGCCACCUGAUACUGCUGUGGCUAGAGUCCGGUAGGGGGAGCGUGGAAUUCCUGGUGUAGCGGUGAAAUGCGCAGAUAUCAGGAGGAACACCGGUGGCGAAGGCGGUUCUCUGGGCAUUACCUGACGCUGAGGAGCGAAAGUGUGGGGAGCGAACAGG